RNAcentral lists this ribosomal RNA (471 nucleotides) under uncultured bacterium. Its description in RNAcentral is "SSU rRNA". It matches the Rfam family "Bacterial small subunit ribosomal RNA", at positions 26 to 518 of the family's 1533-position model. The record is from RNAcentral.
AGGACGAACGCUGGCGGCGUGCUUAACACAUGCAAGUCGAGCGGAAAGGCCCUUCGGGGUACUCGAGCGGCGAACGGGUGAGUAACACGUGAGUAAUCUGCCCCUAGCUCUGGGAUAGCUCCGGGAAACCGGGAUUAAUAGCAGAUACGACCACUUUAGACAUCUGUUGUGGUGGAAAGAAUUUUGGCUAGGGAUGAGCUCGCGGCCUAUCAGCUUGUUGGUGAGGUAACGGCUCACCAAGGCGACGACGGGUAGCCGGCCUGAGAGGGCGACCGGCCACACUGGGACUGAGACACGGCCCAGACUCCUACGGGAGGCAGCAGUGGGGAAUAUUGCGCAAUGGGCGAAAGCCUGACGCAGCGACGCCGCGUGGGGGAUGAAGGCCUUCGGGUUGUAACCCUUUCAGCAGGACGAAGCGAAAGUGACGGUACCUGCAGAAGAAGCGCCGGCUAACUACGCGCCAGCAGCCGC